UACGGAGGGUGCAAGCGUUAUCCGGAAUCACUGGGUUUAAAGGGUGCGUAGGUGGUUUAGUAAGUCAGAUGUGAAAGCCCGACGCUUAACGUUGGAACUGCAUUUGAUACUGCUAAACUUGAAUCAGGUUGAGGUAGGCGGAAUGUGGCAUGUAGCGGUGAAAUGCAUAGAUAUGCCAUAGAACACCAAUUGCGAAGGCAGCUUACUGGCCCUGUAUUGACACUGAGGCACGAAAGCGUGGGGAGCGAACAGG
This 253-nucleotide ribosomal RNA is filed under the name uncultured bacterium. RNAcentral describes it as "partial 16S ribosomal RNA". It matches the Rfam family "Bacterial small subunit ribosomal RNA", at positions 524 to 776 of the family's 1533-position model. The record is from RNAcentral.